Molecule: ribosomal RNA, 497 nt
Filed under: uncultured bacterium
Lineage: Bacteria
Description: partial 16S ribosomal RNA
Rfam family: Bacterial small subunit ribosomal RNA
Source: RNAcentral
GAUGAACGCUGGCGGCGUGCCUAAUACAUGCAAGUCGAGCGAACGGACGAGAAGUUUGCUUUUCUGAUGUUAGCGGCGGACGGGUGAGUAACACGUGGAUAACCUACCUAUAAGACUGGAAUAACUUCGGGAAACCGGAGCUAAUACCGGAUAAUAUUUUGAACCGCAUGGUUCAAAAGUGAAAGACGGUCUUGCUGUCACUUAUAGAUGGAUCCGCGCUGCAUUAGUUAGUUGGUAAGGUAACGGCUUACCAAGGCAACGAUGCAUAGCCGACCUGAGAGGGUGAUCGGCCACACUGGAACUGAGACACGUUCCAGACUCCUACAGGAGGCAGCAGUAGGGAAUCUUCCGCAAUGGGCGGAAGCCUGACGGAGCAACGCCGCGUGAGUGAUGAAGGUCUUCGAAUCGUAAAACUCUGUUAUUAGGGAAGAACAUAUGUGUAAGUAACUGUGCACAUCUUGACGGUACCUAAUCAGAAAGCCACGGCUAACUACGUG